RNAcentral lists this long non-coding RNA (214 nucleotides) under Elaeis guineensis (African oil palm). RNAcentral's name for it is "long non-coding RNA (EGUI_LNC068661)". Lineage: Eukaryota; Viridiplantae; Streptophyta; Magnoliopsida; Arecales; Arecaceae. The record is from RNAcentral.
CUUUCUCUACUUCUAUCAUAUCCCUAGUGAUCAUAAUCUUAUACUCAAAUACUACUUAAGUCAUAGUCCCUAGCAAUCAUAAUAUAAGCUCUGAUAUCAUGCUAUCAUAUUCUUAGUGAUCAUAACCUUAUACUCAAAUAUCCCUUUACUCACAAUCCCUCGAGAUCAUAACCUUAAGCUCUGAUACCAUUCUAUUAUACCUUGAAUCCAACAU